RNAcentral lists this ribosomal RNA (406 nucleotides) under uncultured bacterium. Its description in RNAcentral is "partial 16S ribosomal RNA". It matches the Rfam family "Bacterial small subunit ribosomal RNA", at positions 30 to 526 of the family's 1533-position model. The record is from RNAcentral.
AUUGAACGCUGGCGGCAGGCCUAACACAUGCAAGUCGAACGCGUGGCGGACGGGUGAGUCAUGUCUGGGACACUGCCUGAUGGAGGGGGAUAACUACUGGAAACGGUAGCUAAUACCGCAUACCAUCCGAUGUUCCCAGAUGGGAUUAGCUAGUUGGUGGGGUAACGGCUCACCAAGUCCACGAUCCCUAGCUGGUCUGAGAGGAUGACCGGCCACACUGGAACUGAGACACGGUACAGACUCCUACGGGAGGCAGCAGUGGGGAAUAUUGCACAAUGGGCGCAAGCCUGAUGCAGCCAUGCCGCGUGUAUGAAGAAGGCCUUCGGGUUGUAAAGUACUUUCAGCGGGGAGGCGUUACCCGAAGAAGAAGCACCGGCUAACUCCGUGCCAGCAGCCGCGGUAAUAC